GAAACGCGAUAAGUAAUCUGAAUUGCAGAAUUCAGUGAAUCAUCGAAUCUUUGAACGUACAUGGCGCCUUCCAGUAUCCUGGGAGGCAUGCCUGUCCGAGCGUCGUUUCAACCCUCGAGCCCCUGUGGCCCGGCGUUGGGGAUCUGCCCAGGCAGGCCCCGAAAACCAGUAGCGGACCCGUUACAGGCCCUUCCUUUGCGUAGUAAUACUGCCUCGCAUCGGGAGCCGGCGGGCUUCCAGCCUCUAAUCCCCCAGCAAGUCCGCCCCAACGGCACCAAGGUUGACCUCGGCUCAGGUAGGAAUACCCGCUGAACUCAA
This 318-nucleotide unclassified non-coding RNA is filed under the name uncultured Hypocreales. Its description in RNAcentral is "sequence contains ITS1". The stretch from base 1 to 105 matches the Rfam family "5.8S ribosomal RNA", at positions 50 to 154 of the family's 154-position model. Lineage: Eukaryota; Fungi; Ascomycota; Sordariomycetes; Hypocreales. The record is from RNAcentral.